RNAcentral lists this ribosomal RNA (511 nucleotides) under uncultured bacterium. RNAcentral's name for it is "partial 16S ribosomal RNA". It matches the Rfam family "Bacterial small subunit ribosomal RNA", at positions 28 to 523 of the family's 1533-position model. The record is from RNAcentral.
GACGAACGCUGGCGGCGUGCCUAAUACAUGCAAGUCGAGCGAAUCGAUGGGAGCUUGCUCCCUGGGAUUAGCGGCGGACGGGUGAGUAACACGUGGGUAACCUGCCUGUAAGACUGGGAUAACUUCGGGAAACCGGAGCUAAUACCGGAUAGUUUCUUUUCUCGCAUGAGGAGAGAUGGAAAGAUGGUUCUGCUAUCACUUACAGAUGGACCCGCGGCGCAUUAGCUAGUUGGUGAGGUAACGGCUCACCAAGGCAACGAUGCGUAGCCGACCUGAGAGGGUGAUCGGCCACACUGGGACUGAGACACGGCCCAGACUCCUACGGGAGGCAGCAGUAGGGAAUCUUCCGCAAUGGACGAAAGUCUGACGGAGCAACGCCGCGUGAGCGAAGAAGGCCUUCGGGUCGUAAAGCUCUGUUGUUAGGGAAGAACAAGUACGAGAGUAACUGCUCGUACCUUGACGGUACCUAACCAGAAAGCCACGGCUAACUACGUGCCAGCCGCCGCCGUAA